RNAcentral lists this long non-coding RNA (582 nucleotides) under Vitis vinifera (wine grape). RNAcentral describes it as "long non-coding RNA (VVIN_LNC002973)". Lineage: Eukaryota; Viridiplantae; Streptophyta; Magnoliopsida; Vitales; Vitaceae. The record is from RNAcentral.
AAGAAAGCUUAAGCUUAAGGUUCAUGUUGUAUAUAUAUGCUUUACAUAGUUUGAUUGUACACCAAGUGUUUGUUUGCUUCGGUUUGUAGUCUAUGAUAUAGGUUUCAUACUUAGUUGCCUACCAUUUAUUUAUUUUUAUUGCAAUUUUCAUAAUUACCAUAUAUUCUUUUUGUUUUCUGCUUUGUAAAUUGAUUUUUGAGAUUGACAUCUCAUUUUAACAUGUACUUUUAUAAUAUGCUAUGUUUAUUACAUAUUCAGACUCAGGUCAAUGGUGUGUUCCUUUUUGCUACAAUGUGCUCUCUUUAAAGUUAGUGGCUUUGCUGCAGUCUGAGCAUAACUAAACCCAUAGUACAUGUAUUGCAGAAAACACCUACAUUCCACAGUUUAUUGAAAAGAUGGCAACAUAUUACCUGUGCAGAGCACUUCAACAGGUCACUGUAGCUAGAAUUUUGAGCUGAGAACAUCAAACGUGCAGCCCUUAAAUGCAGCUUCUUUGUUGUGUGGUGAAUUUUUCGCUCAUAUAUACUGCUUUGCGUUUGUCUUCUAUGUGUGCCAUGGUUAUUAUCACAAUAUCCAACAAUA